CCGUGUCUCAAAAUUGUCUCUCUAGUCUCCAUGGGGAGUUGCAAGUGGAGCCAUCGUCGGACACCUGCUUGCAACAUCUUUUUCAAGUGAUGAAGGAAGCCGAGACACCAUUCGGACGCCCGAGAACUAAGAGAAAGAGGCUUUAGAUGUGCUACUGAGAAGGGUUUGUGGAUGUCUUGCUUAUUCUCUGGUAAUCUUAGGAUGAGAGCUGGUCCAAAAUACUGUUUUACUGGUGCUAAACUUCAAAAAUUUAUCCAGAAACAAGGUGGUUAGUAUAAUAUUGGAUAGUAAUAAAGAAGAAAGAGAAGUUAAAAUUUUUAUCGAGCUGUCUAAUACCGUCUAGUAUUGAACAAAACAUGUGCUGUUUAGAUUUGUCUUGUCCAGCAAAUAAAUCUAUGAAUUUUCUAUAAAUUUUAUGUUGAAUUUAUACUGGGGAGGGUGAAAAUAAACUGAAUUUUUCAUGCAGUAUAAGUUCAAUAUUUCCCAACUUGAUGGCAAUUAUCUCCACUUUAUUACAUAUAGGGCUGAGUCUCAUCGAGGAAAAUAGAGUUGAAACUCAAUGUUCUGUCAUU
Molecule: long non-coding RNA, 572 nt
Filed under: Olea europaea (common olive)
Lineage: Eukaryota; Viridiplantae; Streptophyta; Magnoliopsida; Lamiales; Oleaceae
Description: long non-coding RNA (OEUR_LNC012690)
Source: RNAcentral